UGCCUCUCAGGAUGGCACCUGGAGAGUUUCCGCUUCUCUACCGGUCUCCGCAACGGGAGGGAGAGUCAAGCAGAGGCCUGUCCAUUCCAUUCCUAGCUUGGCCAGUGGCUAGCGACAGGAAGGCAAUCUGCUACAGGU
Ornithorhynchus anatinus (platypus) is the source of this 138-nucleotide small nucleolar RNA. Lineage: Eukaryota; Metazoa; Chordata; Mammalia; Monotremata; Ornithorhynchidae. The record is from RefSeq and is a predicted model, not a curated record.